This 465-nucleotide ribosomal RNA is filed under the name Vreelandella stevensii. RNAcentral's name for it is "partial 16S ribosomal RNA". It matches the Rfam family "Bacterial small subunit ribosomal RNA", at positions 338 to 795 of the family's 1533-position model. Lineage: Bacteria; Pseudomonadati; Pseudomonadota; Gammaproteobacteria; Oceanospirillales; Halomonadaceae. The record is from RNAcentral.
CCUACGGGUGGCAGCAGUGGGGAAUAUUGGACAAUGGGCGAAAGCCUGAUCCAGCCAUGCCGCGUGUGUGAAGAAGGCCUUCGGGUUGUAAAGCACUUUCAGUGGGGAAGAAAGCCUUGGGGCUAAUACCCUCGAGGAAGGACAUCACCCACAGAAGAAGCACCGGCUAACUCCGUGCCAGCAGCCGCGGUAAUACGGAGGGUGCGAGCGUUAAUCGGAAUUACUGGGCGUAAAGCGCGCGUAGGCGGUCUGAUAAGCCGGUUGUGAAAGCCCCGGGCUCAACCUGGGAACGGCAUCCGGAACUGUCCGGCUAGAGUGCAGGAGAGGAAGGUAGAAUUCCCGGUGUAGCGGUGAAAUGCGUAGAGAUCGGGAGGAAUACCAGUGGCGAAGGCGGCCUUCUGGACUGACACUGACGCUGAGGUGCGAAAGCGUGGGUAGCAAACAGGAUUAGAUACCCUUGUAGUC